CCAAUGGACGGUGGAGAAGAGAUGAGUGACAGACCUGGGGAGGGGCCAGGGUUGGCUGCCGCAGCUCCAGGGGUAUAAAAGGAGGAGCAGCCAUUUUGUGGAGGUGCUCAUGGCUGCCUGGUCACCGGCUCCUGCUGCGCUGCCCUUUUUCCUUAUUCAGGCCUUUGUUGUAUUUUGUUAAGGCUUUUACUAAACCUUUUAAAAUUUUUAAAAGUGAGCAUCUCUCACACCUUCCAUGCUGAUCCAAGGGACAAAAUAGGGGAGAAGAAAUGUCCUGGCAGACCAACAUGCUUUUGCAGUACCUACUGCAGCUGAAUUGCUGUGAGGGGAAGCUCAGGCAGUCAGCAGGACCUGAAGGCACUGAGAGAGCCCAGGCAGCAGAGAUACAGGAGAGAAGCAGAUACAAAAACACUGGCAGAGCUGAAAGAGGAAGAUGGACCUCACCUGCAGAAAAGUGGCCGCACCAAAAAUACACUGAAUUACAUAGACCUGAGAUCCAAAGUCUAGAACAUCCAGUUACGACUCUUCUAGGAAGACUGAAAUGCUGGUUCAAAGUCAGUCUUAUUAUUCUGGAGCAAAAUGGAAACAGUGGAGACCAAUGGUCAGCCAACAGUGACUCCUCUACAGGGACAAUUAAAUAUAUGCUGAAUAUAUGAGCUGAAUGAUGGCCUCACUUCUUAGGUGAUGAUUGCUUAAUCUCAUCCUUAGGUGAGGAACUUUCAUGCUGUUCACAAACAUCUGAAUCCCUUCCUGCAGUAGAAUCCAUUUACCAUUGUGCAAAUAUUCUGUAUUAAUUCUAGACCACACACAGAUCUGAGUGGCAUCAGAGUAAGACUGCAGUAACCCCAAUUAAUUUUAGGAGGCUUUUUCUAGGUUUAUCCUACUCAGAUAAAAAUGUGUGUAUUUAUCUUUGAAUUGCAUGGCACAGACUAUUGUAAUGAGGUGCAUUGAGCUCUAUUCUCAGCAUAAAUUAAUUUGGGGUAGUCAAAUGAAAAAUGUUGCACACCAGAUUGGUGAGCUAGAUGGUCCUUUAUCACUACAGUUAAGGAAAAUAUGAAUGUUAAUGAAUCUAUUUUGUUCUAUCACAACUUCUGAAAAUAAAAGAAAAUCUAACACCUAUGGGAUUUUUGUG
RNAcentral lists this long non-coding RNA (1132 nucleotides) under Parus major (Great Tit). RNAcentral's name for it is "lncRNA (ENSPMJG00000011450.1)". The record is from RNAcentral. Lineage: Eukaryota; Metazoa; Chordata; Aves; Passeriformes; Paridae.